Molecule: ribosomal RNA, 487 nt
Filed under: uncultured bacterium
Lineage: Bacteria
Description: partial 16S ribosomal RNA
Rfam family: Bacterial small subunit ribosomal RNA
Source: RNAcentral
GAUGAACGCUAGCGAUAGGCUUAACACAUGCAAGUCGAGGGGCAGCACAAGGUAGCUUGCUAUCUGGGUGGCGACCGGCGCACGGGUGCGUAACGCGUAUGCAACUUGCCCUAUACAGGAGGAUAACCCGUCGAAAGACGGACUAAUACUGCGUAUGCUCACAACUUGGCAUCAAGUGGUGAGGAAAGAAAUUCGGUAUAGGAUAGGCAUGCGUCCCAUUAGCUUGUUGGUGAGGUAACGGCUCACCAAGGCAACGAUGGGUAGGGGAACUGAGAGGUUUAUCCCCCACACUGGUACUGAGACACGGACCAGACUCCUACGGGAGGCAGCAGUGAGGAAUAUUGGUCAAUGGGCGCGAGCCUGAACCAGCCAAGUCGCGUGAAGGAUGACUGUCUUAUGGAUUGUAAACUUCUUUUAUACGGGAAUAACAAGAGCCACGUGUGACUCCCUGCAUGUACCGUAUGAAUAAGCAUCGGCUAACUCCGUG